Molecule: ribosomal RNA, 253 nt
Filed under: uncultured bacterium
Lineage: Bacteria
Description: partial 16S ribosomal RNA
Rfam family: Bacterial small subunit ribosomal RNA
Source: RNAcentral
UACGUAGGGGGCGAGCGUUGUUCGGAUUCACUGGGCGUAAAGGGCGCGUAGGUGGUGAGGUAAGUCCGAUGUGAAAGCUCCGAGCUCAACUCGGAAAUUGCAUUAGAAACUACCUUGCUUGAGGGUUGGAGGGGGGACUGGAAUUCUCGGUGUAGCAGUGAAAUGCGUAGAUAUCGAGAGGAACACCAGUGGCGAAGGCGAGUCCCUGGACAACUCCUGACACUGAGGCACGAAAGCUAGGGGAGCAAACAGG